GGUGGCUGCCUGGAUGUCCUGAAUCGAUUCAAAACAUUUCCCUUUCAUGGUCAUUUUGACUUUGGAGAAGAGCUAGAAGCCCUACAGUGCCAGACAAAACACAGCAACUCCUGAGCUCAGCUGUAAACUCCAGAGUCUGGAAGUGCCUCGUGCAGUGCCUCUCACACCUGGCUAAUCAAUGAGUUUAUUUGGUCCGGGAUCCCCAUCAUUAUCGGCAGCCACAACAAUAGUCACUCAGGAUCUGUGUGAUGAUAUCUUUAUGGUGAAACAGAGGCGAAGAGAAAGUACACUGUGGCCCACAGGCAUGUUGUGAGAGUUUGGACUUGAACUUAAAUGCAGGUCCUUCAACUUCAGGGCAAAGUGCUGAGAAUCACACUUCCUUACCCCACAUAGCAUCUCGGUUUCCAGCUUGAACUCACCAACAAAGACUUUACCCAAAACUUUAGGACCGAUAACCAUGAGUGCUGGAGCCCAAAUGACGAUGGCACCGCAGAAAGUAAGC
This 502-nucleotide long non-coding RNA is filed under the name Heterocephalus glaber (naked mole-rat). RNAcentral describes it as "lncRNA (ENSHGLG00000037070.1)". Lineage: Eukaryota; Metazoa; Chordata; Mammalia; Rodentia; Bathyergidae. The record is from RNAcentral.